CGCAGCCAUUCGUCCCCAGACGCGAAAGUUCUACCUACAUUUUUUCAACCAGGGUGCCGCCUCUGUUCGUGGGAGUGCAGGCUCGUUCGGCGAGAAGCCCGAAGCGAUUAUCGUGCCACCCACCUACUUCAUGUAGGGGUUGAACUCAACCGGAGGGGACGGUGGCUGUUU
This 171-nucleotide non-coding RNA is filed under the name Enhygromyxa salina. Its description in RNAcentral is "6S RNA". It matches the Rfam family "6S / SsrS RNA". From Rfam's summary of the family: E. coli 6S RNA was the first non coding RNA to be sequenced, but its function was unknown until recently. It consists of 184 nucleotides that fold into an extended hairpin structure with a large single-stranded internal bulge. The 6S RNA specifically associates with RNA polymerase holoenzyme containing the sigma70 specificity factor. Lineage: Bacteria; Pseudomonadati; Myxococcota; Nannocystales; Nannocystaceae. The record is from RNAcentral.